GGGGAAUAUUGCACAAUAGGGGAAACCCUGAUGCAGCGACGCCGCGUGGAGGAAGAAGGUCUUCGGAUUGUAAACUCCUGUUGUUGAGGAAGAUAAUGACGGUACUCAACAAGGAAGUGACGGCUAACUACGUGCCAGCAGCCGCGGUAAAACGUAGGUCACAAGCGUUGUCCGGAAUUACUGGGUGUAAAGGGAGCGCAGGCGGGCGAUCAAGUUGGAAGUGAAAUCCAUGGGCUCAACCCAUGAACUGCUUUCAAAACUGAUUGUCUUGAGUAGUGCAGAGGUAGGCGGAAUUCCCGGUGUAGCGGUGGAAUGCGUAGAUAUCGGGAGGAACACCAGUGGCGAAGGCGGCCUACUGGGCACCAACUGACGCUGAGGCUCGAAAGUGUGGGUAGCAAACAGGAUUAGAUACCCUGGUAGUCCACACCGUAAACGAUGAUUACUAGGUGUUGGAGGAUUGACCCCUUCAGUGCCGCAGUUAACACAAUAAGUAAUCCACCUGGGGAGUACGACCGCAAGGUUGAAACUCAAAGGAAUUGACGGGGGCCCGCACAAGCAGUGGAGUAUGUGGUUUAAUUCGACGCAACGCGAAGAACCUUACCAAGUCUUGACAUCCUGCGACGAUGCUGGAAACAGUAUUUUCCUUCGGGACGCAGAGACAGGUGGUGCAUGGUUGUCGUCAGCUCGUGUCGUGAGAUGUUGGGUUAAGUCCCGCAACGAGCGCAACCCUUACUGUCAGUUACUACGCAAGAGGACUCUGGCAGGACUGCCGUUGACAAAACGGAGGAAGGUGGGGAUGACGUCAAAUCAUCAUGCCCUUUAUGAUCUGGGCUACACACGUGCUACAAUGGCUGUUACAGAGAGAAGCGAAUCCGCGAGGAAGAGCAAACCUCAAAAAGGCAGUCUCAGUUCGGAUUGUAGUCUGCAACUCGACUACAUGAAGCUGGAAUCGCUAGUAAUCGCGAAUCAGAAUGUCGCGGUGAAUACGUUCCCG
This 994-nucleotide ribosomal RNA is filed under the name uncultured bacterium. RNAcentral describes it as "bacterial SSU rRNA". It matches the Rfam family "Bacterial small subunit ribosomal RNA", at positions 356 to 1376 of the family's 1533-position model. The record is from RNAcentral.